Rosa chinensis is the source of this 711-nucleotide long non-coding RNA. RefSeq lists it as uncharacterized. Lineage: Eukaryota; Viridiplantae; Streptophyta; Magnoliopsida; Rosales; Rosaceae. The record is from RefSeq and is a predicted model, not a curated record. The transcript has 3 exons.
GAGCCUGAUGAUUGCUACUGGUACUACUACAGUCGCCACCGUAGCAGCCAGUGCCUCCACAGGCGCCACCCCUCACCUCCACCUCCACCUCGGAGAAUCUUUCCCGGUCAUGGACCACGAGUACUUCCACCUCGACAACAGCCAAAGAGAGCACCGGCACCGGCUCCAGUGAACUCACCGGCCCCAGCUCCCCCAUCCCGAGGGAAUUAUGCACCGGCUCCGGCACCCCAAGAGAAUACACCGGCUCCGACACCCGGAGGAAAUGCACCGGCUCAUGCACCCAGAGGGAGUGCACCGGCUCCUGCACCACAAGUGAAACCACCGGCUCCUACACCUGGAGUUACACCAACUCCCCCACCCCCUAUACCUGCUCCAUACCCGACGCCUUCAAAAAAGAAUGAUUCUUCAGACAACGAAGUCAUUAAAGAACUGUUAUCCUUGAUCGGUCCUGGUGCUCUCCUUGCAAGUGGUCUCGCUGGCGAUGGUGCCGCUGGCGAAGCCGGAUCAGAAGCUGUAGCUGCAGAGGUCCUUAAAGAACUCUUAGAUCAAUAUUGUAAUAUGAUGAAAAAUUGACUUACAAGAAGCUCAUAGAGUCAUAGUGAAAUAAUCUAUUGAAUAAAUUAUCACCGUUUGACGAUAUAAGAUAUUCAACGGAGUCUUAGACUACAAUAUUGGUAAGGGUGCUCCCCUAAUGCAGAUUAUUAAGAAUUC